UGAACUAUGGAUCUUAGCCA
Molecule: non-coding RNA, 20 nt
Filed under: Arabidopsis thaliana (thale cress)
Lineage: Eukaryota; Viridiplantae; Streptophyta; Magnoliopsida; Brassicales; Brassicaceae
Source: RNAcentral